AAAACCUUAUUCAUAAACGCACAUUAACGCUAAACAGUGCAUCAUCUCUUGUGUAAAUCCUCGAAAUUUUAAAAUGAGCCCGACCCUAGUUUAACGGGAUUUUAGCGCAAAAAUCCAAGAUGGCCGCCUCACAUCAGCUGGCUUUUGACAGCAACUCAUGAACUGAUAUGAACCUCUGAGACGAGUGUUUGUUGCCUGUUCUUACAUUUUCUCAGAAAAAUGUAUUAUGUGUAAUUAAAUUGACAAGCUAAAAUUAUUAUUAAGUGGCGCAAAACCAAAGUAAUAUGUGUUGUGUGAAAUGCGGGCUACUUAUAUACCUAAACUGAAGGAUGUAACAGACUUUUGAUCGUGUCGAAGAAAAAGUGCAUUAUAUAGGGAACGAGUUCAGAGGCGAGGUGGCAGAAAUAGGUAAAAAUGUUGUCUGGCAGUAAUGAAACUUUUAAUGAAGCGAUGCAACCUAUGCUGGCAUGUUACUGGAAAAGUUGUGUCCAAUUUGGCCAUCAAGUGAAGAAAAGUCAUCACAGUUUGCUGCCUCCCUCUGCUGCUGCUGCUCGGUCCCAAGCUGAAGAUGGAAUUGUCAGAAUCUGAAAAAGACACAUCAGACAUAAAUAAAAUAUUUUUAAUGAACAUGUUUUUCUUUAAUUUUUAGCUAUUAUGUGAUAGUCAUAAUUUUAACGGAUAGAUUGUACAAUGCAAUUUCAUUUAAUAGGUUCUCUGACUAAUUAAUACUAUCAUGAGAACUCAUUGUACAUAGUUUUAUAUCAAAAUAGGAAUAGUAUCAUUUUGAAAUGGUACAUAAGCAAUAGAGAACUGCAAUGGCUAGGCUACUCUUUGUUUGAGAGUUUGAAAUAACUAGUAAGUAAAUUUAUGUAAAAAGAAACACAAAGUUUUACAUGACAUGAUGACACAGGCAAUGUCUGGUAGACAAGUGUCCAAACUAGGGUUAUAGGAGUGUCAUACUCCACAGUACAGAAGACAAUCUUAUUAACACUCUUUAUAGCAAAAUAACACAGGUAACCUAAUUACAUUUUAGUUUUGUUCACGACUAAACUACAUCAAGACACGUAUAUACCUACUAGCUUUUGCCGGCGGCUUCGCUCGCGUUAGAAAGAGACAAAAAGUUACGUAUGUCAUUCUCCAUCCCUUCACCUAUUUCCACAAUCACGUCAAUUUGUCUCCGUUUUGCCGUGAAAGACAAAAUAACCACAAGCAGGUUUGAUUUAUUACUAUUAGAGUAGGUAUCGGUAUCCUUCAACUCAAGUUCAUACUUAAACAUGACUGACAAGUGACACUACUCUCACCGUUAUAACAGUGUAUAUUAAGAAAUAAAUAUACAAAACGGUGU
Long non-coding RNA from Leguminivora glycinivorella, 1345 nucleotides. RefSeq lists it as uncharacterized. Lineage: Eukaryota; Metazoa; Arthropoda; Insecta; Lepidoptera; Tortricidae. The record is from RefSeq and is a predicted model, not a curated record. The transcript is spliced from 3 exons.